UGGGGAAUCUUGCGCAAUGGGCGAAAGCCUGACGCAGCAACGCCGCGUGCGGGAUGAAGGCUCUCGGGUUGUAAACCGCUUUCAGCAGGAACGAAAAUGACGGUACUUGCAGAAGAAGGUGCGGCCAACUAUGUGCCAGCAGCCGCGGUGAUACAUAGGCACCAAGCGUUGUCCGGAUUUAUUGGGCGUAAAGAGCUCGUAGGUGGUUCGGUAAGUCGGGUGUGAAAACUUUGGGCUCAACCCAAAGCCUGCAUCCGAUACUGCUGUGACUAGAGUUCGGUAGGGGAGCGGGGAAUUCCUAGUGUAGCGGUGAAAUGCGCAGAUAUUAGGAGGAACACCGGUGGCGAAGGCGCCGCUCUGGGCCGAUACUGACACUGAGGAGCGAAAGCGUGGGUAGCAAACAGGAUUAGAUACCCCCGUAGUCCCUGAGCGGGCUGGCAAGGCGCAU
This 448-nucleotide ribosomal RNA is filed under the name uncultured bacterium. RNAcentral describes it as "bacterial SSU rRNA". It matches the Rfam family "Bacterial small subunit ribosomal RNA", at positions 355 to 825 of the family's 1533-position model. The record is from RNAcentral.